UUUUCCCCUUCCCUCUGCCCUGCCUCUCUUCUUCUUCGAGUCUCUCAGAUCUGCAGCCUGCGCCUCUCACUCAACCUCCUCUCCCCAAACCAAAUUCGUCGGCUCUCUCACUCGCUCUCUCUAAGUCACUCAAUCUCUCUCUCAACCGCUCUCGCUCGCCUCUGCCUCUCUCAGUCUCUCGUCUCUGCCUCUGUUCGUUCUUCCUCUCAGUCACUCUCUCUCAGUCACUCAUUCUCUCUCUCAUCGGCUCUCUCUUAGUCACUCUAGAAUUAACUUAGCCUCUCUCUCUCUCUCUCUGCCGCUUUCUCGGGUACUAUCUCUAAGUCUCUUAGUCCUUUUACUUUGUCAAUCAAGAAUUCUAAAUAGUUCUAAUAAAAGCCCAGAUCUGGAGGUUCUAGGAAGACAGACUUCUUCUCUGUUAAUGUUUUGAUUUCAACUCAGUUUCCAAAGCAACAGCCAGAGUUGAUGCUUCAAAGUUCGCA
Molecule: non-coding RNA, 482 nt
Organism: Prunus avium (sweet cherry)
Lineage: Eukaryota; Viridiplantae; Streptophyta; Magnoliopsida; Rosales; Rosaceae
Source: RefSeq, a predicted model, not a curated record